GGAUACGGCCAGACUGAAUCUGAAUCUGAAUACACCCGAUCUCGUUCGAUCUCGGAUGUUAAGUAAUUGCAGGUCCCGUUAGAAUAUACUUGGAUGGAUGACCGCCUGGGAAACCCCGGUGCCCUAUCCU
This 130-nucleotide ribosomal RNA is filed under the name Mnemiopsis leidyi (sea walnut). Lineage: Eukaryota; Metazoa; Ctenophora; Tentaculata; Lobata; Bolinopsidae. The record is from RNAcentral.